This 610-nucleotide ribosomal RNA is filed under the name Pseudarthrobacter sp. Its description in RNAcentral is "bacterial SSU rRNA". It matches the Rfam family "Bacterial small subunit ribosomal RNA", at positions 666 to 1273 of the family's 1533-position model. The record is from RNAcentral. Lineage: Bacteria; Bacillati; Actinomycetota; Actinomycetes; Micrococcales; Micrococcaceae.
AUUCCUGGUGUAGCGGUGAAAUGCGCAGAUAUCAGGAGGAACACCGAUGGCGAAGGCAGGUCUCUGGGCAUUAACUGACGCUGAGGAGCGAAAGCAUGGGGAGCGAACAGGAUUAGAUACCCUGGUAGUCCAUGCCGUAAACGUUGGGCACUAGGUGUGGGGGACAUUCCACGUUUUCCGCGCCGUAGCUAACGCAUUAAGUGCCCCGCCUGGGGAGUACGGCCGCAAGGCUAAAACUCAAAGGAAUUGACGGGGGCCCGCACAAGCGGCGGAGCAUGCGGAUUAAUUCGAUGCAACGCGAAGAACCUUACCAAGGCUUGACAUGAACUAGUAAGGCGCAGAGAUGCGUCCCCCACUUUGUGGCUGGUUUACAGGUGGUGCAUGGUUGUCGUCAGCUCGUGUCGUGAGAUGUUGGGUUAAGUCCCGCAACGAGCGCAACCCUCGUUCUAUGUUGCCAGCACGUGAUGGUGGGGACUCAUAGGAGACUGCCGGGGUCAACUCGGAGGAAGGUGGGGACGACGUCAAAUCAUCAUGCCCCUUAUGUCUUGGGCUUCACGCAUGCUACAAUGGCCGGUACAAAGGGUUGCGAUACUGUGAGGUGGAGCUAAUC